RNAcentral lists this ribosomal RNA (691 nucleotides) under uncultured prokaryote. RNAcentral's name for it is "bacterial SSU rRNA". It matches the Rfam family "Bacterial small subunit ribosomal RNA", at positions 791 to 1482 of the family's 1533-position model. The record is from RNAcentral.
UAGUCCACGCUGUAAACGAUGUCGACUUGGAGGUUGUGCCCUNGAGGCGUGGCUUCCGGAGCUAACGCGUUAAGUCGACCGCCUGGGGAGUACGGCCGCAAGGUUAAAACUCAAAUGAAUUGACGGGGGCCCGCACAAGCGGUGGAGCAUGUGGUUUAAUUCGAUGCAACGCGAAGAACCUUACCUACUCUUGACAUCCACGGAACUUGCCAGAGAUGGCUUGGUGCCUUCGGGAACCGUGAGACAGGUGCUGCAUGGCUGUCGUCAGCUCGUGUUGUGAAAUGUUGGGUUAAGUCCCGCAACGAGCGCAACCCUUAUCCUUUGUUGCCAGCACUUCGGGUGGGAACUCAAAGGAGACUGCCGGUGAUAAACCGGAGGAAGGUGGGGAUGACGUCAAGUCAUCAUGGCCCUUACGAGUAGGGCUACACACGUGCUACAAUGGCGUAUACAAAGAGAAGCAAACUCGCGAGAGCCAGCGGACCUCAUAAAGUACGUCGUAGUCCGGAUUGGAGUCUGCAACUCGACUCCAUGAAGUCGGAAUCGCUAGUAAUCGUAGAUCAGAAUGCUACGGUGAAUACGUUCCCGGGCCUUGUACACACCGCCCGUCACACCAUGGGAGUGGGUUGCAAAAGAAGUAGGUAGCUUAACCUUCGGGAGGGCGCUUACCACUUUGUGAUUCAUGACUGGGGUG